GAUGAAGAACGUAGCGAAAUGCGAUAAGUAAUGUGAAUUGCAGAAUUCAGUGAAUCAUCGAAUCUUUGAACGCACAUUGCGCCCCUUGGUAUUCCGAGGGGCAUGCCUGUUCGAGCGUCAUUAUAACCCCUCAAGCUCAGCUUGGUGUUGGGGCCUGCUGCACUGGCAGCCCUUAAAAUCAGUGGCGGCGCCAUCUGGCUCUAAGCGUAGUAAUUCUUCUCGCUAUGGAGUCCUGGUGGAUGCUUGCCAUCAACCCCCAAUUUUUCUAUGGUUGACCUCGGAUCAGGUAGGGAUACCCGCUAAACUUAAGCAUAUCAAUAAGCGGAGGA
Molecule: unclassified non-coding RNA, 329 nt
Filed under: soil metagenome
Description: partial contains 5.8S ribosomal RNA, internal transcribed spacer 2, and large subunit ribosomal RNA
Rfam family: 5.8S ribosomal RNA (bases 1-120)
Source: RNAcentral